GACGAACGCUGGCGGCGCGCUUAACACAUGCAAGUCGAGCGAUCGGCCCGGGGCUUGCCCGGGUACGGAGCGGCGAACGGGUGAGUAACACGUGGGUGACCUGCCCUCGGUUCCGGGACAACACCGGGAAACCGGUGCUAAUACCGGAUGGACUACGCGGCUUUCGGGCUGCGGAGAAAAGGUAGCUUUGGCCUCCGACCGAGGAUGGGCCCGCGGCCGAUUAGCUUGUUGGUGGGGUAAUGGCGUCACCAAGGCGACGAUCGGUAGCUGGUGUGAGAGCAUGACCAGCCAC
Molecule: ribosomal RNA, 292 nt
Filed under: uncultured bacterium
Lineage: Bacteria
Description: partial 16S ribosomal RNA
Rfam family: Bacterial small subunit ribosomal RNA
Source: RNAcentral